CAAUAAAGAAGGGGUGAAGAGGCCACCUAAAGCCAGCCUUAAGGGUCUCCCUAAAAAUAACAAACUCCCCUCGUCGUGCUCGAACAAUCCUAUCCUCGGGGUCAGGAAAUCUAACAUCGCAAUUAGGCAUUAUACCAUAUUCCCUAGCUGCAGCUAUGACUGAGCUCUUUAAGCCUGCAGGGUUCGUCGGGAUACUCAAAAACCAUAUUAACC
This 213-nucleotide long non-coding RNA is filed under the name Olea europaea (common olive). RNAcentral's name for it is "long non-coding RNA (OEUR_LNC000404)". Lineage: Eukaryota; Viridiplantae; Streptophyta; Magnoliopsida; Lamiales; Oleaceae. The record is from RNAcentral.